UGGGGAAUUUUGGACAAUGGGCGAAAGCCUGAUCCCAGCAAUGCCGCGUGUGUGAAGAAGGCCUUCGGGUUGUAAAGCACUUUUUGUCCGGAAAGAAAUCCUUGGCUCUAAUACAGUCGGGGGAUGACGGUACCGGAAGAAUAAGCACCGGCUAACUACGUGCCAGCAGCCGCGGUAAUACGUAGGGUGCAAGCGUUAAUCGGAAUUACUGGGCGUAAAGCGUGCGCAGGCGGUUUGCUAAGACCGAUGUGAAAUCCCCGGGCUCAACCUGGGAACUGCAUUGGUGACUGGCAGGCUAGAGUAUGGCAGAGGGGGGUAGAAUUCCACGUGUAGCAGUGAAAAUGCGUAGAGAUGUGGAGGAAUACCGAUGGCGAAGGCAGCCCCCUGGGCCAAAUACUGACGCUCAUGCACGAAAAGCGUGGGGAGCAAAACAGGAUUAGAUACCCUGGUAGUCCACGCCCUAAAACGAUGUCAACUAGUUGUUGGGGAUUCAUUUCCUUAGUAACGUAGCUAACGCGUGAAGUUGACCGCCUGGGGAGUACGGUCGCAAGAUUAAAACUCAAAGGAAUUGAACGGGGUCAUAGCUGUUUCC
This 592-nucleotide ribosomal RNA is filed under the name uncultured bacterium. Its description in RNAcentral is "partial 16S ribosomal RNA". It matches the Rfam family "Bacterial small subunit ribosomal RNA", at positions 355 to 933 of the family's 1533-position model. The record is from RNAcentral.